CUGGACAAUUUCUUUUCUUCCAGGAUUCUCCCAAAGAGCUUGGCUGCCUCCAGGGCACAUCCCCAGUGGAUGGUGAGCCCAUAGCCUCCAUGGCCAUAGUUGUGGAUGACCUAGGAGAGGCAAGAGAGAAGGUGGCCAGGUCCGAGAGGGACAGUGGAAAGAAUAGAUGAAGCUCUUCUGCCCUGGAAGACUCAGGAGCCUCCCGAAGAGUCCUGGGCAAAGCCAGAUGCCACCUGAGUUUCUCUUGGCACCCGGGUGGAAUGGUGGGGACCCCCUGGAACAGUUGCAAGAGAUGAUGGGGCAGCCACAAAAUGGAUAUCUGGAAAUAGCCUUGGAGUCAAAUUCAAAUCACAUCCCAGCCCUGCCUUCCACCAGUGGUCUGACUUGGGCAAGUGACUUCACCUCUUAAUUCACCCCAGUUUCCUCAUCCGAAGCAUAGGGAGAACUGUCCCUAUCCCAAAGAGCUCCAGAGGAGAUUUAAUAAGGUCAUUCAUGUAAUGAACUUGCUGCUGUGUCUGACACGAAGUACACAUCCAACAUUUGCAGAAGACACGUUGGAACCCCAGCUCUGUCUACAGAUGAGAUGAUCUCAUCUCAAGCACGCAUCGUGAGCCCCUAAGCUGCCCAACCCAGCCCCAGUGACUCUCACCACGAGUAAGUCAAGGGACACACACAUUGCAAGACGCUACUAUUGUUCCUGAGUGAAUGACUGAGAAUGAGGACUGCAUUGGGUCCACCAUGUAUCUUCGGUGUCCAUCAGGGCCUGACCAGAGCAGGUUAGUCUUCAUGACAUAGCACUAGUAGCUACAUGUACGGAGUGCCUUCCAUGUGCCAAGCAGGGUUUUAGAUGCUGGGAUUGAAUGAAGCCAUACAGUAAAGCUCUUUUUGCUGGUGCCUGGAGAUGGUGGCUUUUCCUAUCAUUAUUAUUGGUGGUGGUGCUGCUUUAGAGGUGAGUCAGCUGAGGGCCUGGACUUUGCAGAAAGACCAACCCAGAUGUCAGUAGGGUUAGGAAGCAAUCAAGUUCUGACCUUGGAGUGCAGCUGACACUGAGAAAAUGCGGCCAGCUCUCUAGCCCCAAAACUCAUUGAGUCUCAGGUAUAAAUCAGCUCCCAAUGGCCACCAUGAUCCCAGUGUUCCUUUGUUCCCACUACCAACAUGAAGGCAGAGACUUCCUCCUUCAGAAUACCUGAGUGCUUCUGGGGCAAGGGUCUGGGGCAGUCCUGUGGGGACCCUAGGAGCCUGAGAAGGAAGCCACCGACUCAGCAGCAAGAAGCAGAGGCCUCCCCUCUUCUCCCUGCCCCAUCCACCGCAUCAGCCCUGCAGCUCACCUCCUCAAAAGACUCCACUUUUCGCUGGAAGAACUUCACUCCCCUCUCAGUUAACCUGGGAUGAUCAAACACAUAAAAAAGCCCAGUAUUCAGCUAUCUGCCCCAUCCCACCAAGAGGGUGGCACAGGGACCUUUCCCAAACAACCUUCUGCGGACGUUAGUCGCACAGGAUGCUGCUUGAGAAGAUGGCUGUGUCAUCAAAUCAGCUCAUGAGCACCUAGCUGGACUGGUGGUCCACAAAAUCUCCUUUGAGAAACCAGAGAUGGUCCAAGCCCCUUGUGGGGCAGAUGGAGUGGGGGAAGGGCCUUGCUGAAGGCCAUAGAGUGAGUCAAUGAUGGAGUUGGAACUCAAACCCAGGCCUCUUAGCCCCGAGCACUUCCUAUGACCACCACAUUGCUUUGUAACAGCAAAGGCGAUGAGAUUCAGAGUAGAGAAGGGGAGAGUUGUACCAGUGCCAAAUUCCCCUUUGUCAGAAGCCGGGCAUGAGGAGGGAGGUGGGCUGAGGACAUCCACCCUCCUUUUAAACAUCCCAUAGGAAAAACAUCUAUCACGAUUAGAAAUACACUAGAAACAGUGAGGUGCGGUGGCUCACGCCUGUAAUCCCAGUACUUUGGGAGGCCGAGGUGGGCGGAUCACGAGGUCAGGAGAUUGAGACCAUCCUGGCUAACACAGUGAAACCCCGUCUCUACUAACAAUACAAAAAAAAAAAAAAAAAUUAGCCGGACGUGGUGGCAGGCGCCUGUAUUCCAAGCUACUCAGGAGGCUGAGGCAGGAGAAAGGCAUGAACCCAGGAGGCGGAGCUUGCAGUGAGCCGAGAUUGCGCCACUGCACUCCAGCCUGGGUGACAGAGCAAGACUCCGUCUCAAAAAAAAAAAAAAAAAAAGAAAGAAAAAAAGAAGAAAGAAAGAAAUUACACUAGAAACAUCCAAAGAACAGGAAAUAAGCCAAAAAGAAGGUGAAGCAUACCCUUGGAACUAUCUCAUUUCCAUCAUUUCCUCAAGAUAGAAAAACAUCUUGAGGGCAUGUUUUUCCUGGAAAAGACUGGACAAGGGUCAUGUGUCCCCAGGUUAGGAGAAAUAGCCAUGUCUUAGUACAACGAUUCCCAAACAUGGCUGAUAAUUAGAAUCGCCAGGAAGCUUCUUAAAAUGCAAAUUUUUGCUAGGCCUGUUUGCUCACGCCUGUAAUCCCAGCACUUUGGGAGGCUGAGGCAGGAAGACUGCUUGAGCCCAGGGGUUUGAGACCAGCCUGGGCAACAUAGUGAGACCCUAUCUCUACAAAAAUAUUAAAAAAUUAGAUAGGCAUUGUGGCACAUGCAUGUGGUCCCAGCUACUUUGGAGGCUGAGGUGGGAGGAUCACUUGAGCCCAGGAAGUUGAGGCUGCUGUGAGCUGUGUUCAUACCACUACAUCCCACUCCAGCCUGGGUGACAAAGUAAGAUUUUGUCUCAAAAAAAAAAAAAAAAAAAAAGCAAA
Long non-coding RNA from Pan troglodytes (chimpanzee), 2798 nucleotides. RefSeq lists it as uncharacterized. The record is from RefSeq and is a predicted model, not a curated record. The transcript has 2 exons. NCBI's taxonomy places the organism in Eukaryota, Metazoa, Chordata, Mammalia, Primates, Hominidae.